Molecule: long non-coding RNA, 1393 nt
Organism: Haliotis rubra (blacklip abalone)
Lineage: Eukaryota; Metazoa; Mollusca; Gastropoda; Lepetellida; Haliotidae
Exons: 4
Source: RefSeq, a predicted model, not a curated record
AAAAGCGGCGUAAAACCAAAACUCAGUCAGUCAGUCAGUCUGUCGUAAGACAUUAUUACCCUGGUGAGUUUAUCACUAUUCAUUUAGGUCAAAAUAAUCCAUAAAUGAUUUAUAUACUGGUAAUUCAAAUAUGGCCUUUUGAAAAAAAUAUUCAUCAUUCAGUAGUGUUCGUGAUAUUUAUUUUUAAAUAAUACGUUAAAAUUCAGUAAUUAGUUGACUGGAAAUACAACAGUCAGUUGUAAAGUUUGGUUGAGGAAGGAUGUUGAAUAUGAGCACAAAUAAGUUUAACUUCAAAUAGUAAUCUCUUGCAAGUAUGUUCAGUAGGGUGAAAUGUUAAAUGAAAAACGUCCUGAAAACAAACGAUCUCUGGAUUAUUUCAGUAUUGACAACUAUAUAUAUGACUGUUGAAGAGUUACUUCCCUUCCAUUUUGGGAUUUCCGUAUUACUGAAAGAAGGGAAAACUAUAUGCUUAAACUGGUAAUAUUAUAGUUAUUGAAUUAAUAAGCCAGAUAAAUCAAGUAUAUGUAAUAAAGAAAUAUAUAUGUACAUAUUUGCAAAAUUGAAUGCAUUUGUUUGAUAUGAUAUAAAGAGCAACACUGUGAUAGAAAAUGAUUGAAAGUGGUGUGUCUUCAGUUAUCUUGGCACAAGAGAGUCUUAUAAAACCCUUGUAUAUAUCUGUGUGGGGGACAAUGUUGAGCUAGGCUCCAAGGGCCAUAUCAGCGUAUAUAUGGAUAAAAAUAUGCACGAACGGUAUGAAAUAAUUUUGAAAGUAGCAAUUGUGUACGGUCUUACAAUCAUUUCGUAUUUAUCUGACAAAGUAUUGUUUUAACUUUUAUUGUUCAUUGACGUGUUUACACAAGAGAGCAAGUGCAUAUAUGAAGCGAAACACAAGAUUACUGAUACUCCAUUAAAUUCCUUCAGUACUCUAAAUGAACUCUUAAGGUUUUAUCUGUAUUGAAAAAUAAGGAGUUCAGUACUCGUUACGUUGAAAAAUUAUCUGGAGCCCUGAUAUGUUAAUAUAAACUUCAUAAAAAAAAGUUUACAAACCCUUCAAAUUAGUGAAUGUUCCAUGAUAUCUCUAUUUUUCUUUUGAGUGGUAUGUAUGUUAAAACUUAAUAUUGUCCAAGUGAUUGUUUCCUUGUGAAAGUCUAAAAAAUUAUGAAUAUUAAUAAAUCAUGAAAAAUGUGUUUGUUUUAUCUUAUUUAGUCGUGUAAGAUCUCAGGCUUCAUACCGUAUUAAACUGAUGCUCUCAUGUGUGUGGUGUUUCAGCUCAUGUUAUAUUUCAGCUGACAAGAGGUUGAUUUAAGGUCUGUCAACAUAUUCAAAUACGUCAUUAAUAAAGGGAUAAUUUGGCAGGUGUGGACACAUACACAUAUCCCACAAGGAUGGAUAU